RNAcentral lists this small nucleolar RNA (228 nucleotides) under Solanum tuberosum (potato). RNAcentral describes it as "snoRNA Plant_U3". It matches the Rfam family "Plant small nucleolar RNA U3". Rfam says of the family: Small nucleolar RNAs (snoRNAs) are involved in the processing and modification of rRNA in the nucleolus. There are two main classes of snoRNAs: the box C/D class, and the box H/ACA class. Lineage: Eukaryota; Viridiplantae; Streptophyta; Magnoliopsida; Solanales; Solanaceae. The record is from Rfam by way of RNAcentral.
AUGUCCUUACUUGAACAGGAUCUGUUCUAUAGGCUCGUACUUCCUUAUCCUCGACUUCUAAGGAGACAGGAAACCAAGUUUGGCUGAUGAAUUGUGGCCAUGAGGCUAGACUAGAACGUAAUUGACAUUCACCGUGUCCUUUGAGUCAUGGUGCAGUAGAUGAUCUGUCUCAGACAGACUCCCUAAACUCUUUUUGCUGAUUUCAGUCACAUUGGCUGUCAACAGACG